GUCAGUGAAUGCUAUUCUGGAGAACUUGAAGACAGUUUAUUCUCAGCUCCAACAGUCUGCUUUGCAUUAUCAAUUUGUUAAGAAACUCUCUCUCUCUUUUUUUUUCGUGUAGAACUGUGCAAAAAGCAACUUCCAUCCAGACUGUCUGAAUUAUCCAAAAAUUCUGAACUGAUGGCAUCCAAAUGAAUAAGACUUUACAGAGCUGCACUGGGAGAAUUGAUUGGAUUUGUCAGUUUUCCUGUGGAUACGAAGUCCUGGGUGGCUUGACUCCCAAAGAACUGACCACCCGUGAGCUGGAAAACAGACCUCAAAGCAGGAAAGAAACAGAAGUGUCCAAAGAAGAUGUGGAAAACACAACCCAGAAAAAGCUGACCCUCAAGAAAGAAGUCCGGUGAGUGGAGUCGGGGGUAGAUUUCCUGAUGGUUUCUCAAGGCUGCCGGGGUCCUGCUUUCUGGGUGAGAAUGUGAUUGAAGACAAGCAUUGUCUAUUUUACAAAGUCCCAGAGAAUUUGGAUCCCAGAUGUGGUAGACGAUGCUCUUAGAUCUGGGGUUGCAAAGUCCACAUCUACCCAGACCGGGCAGGAAAUGUAAAUGACCGAGUGAACUGAGUGUAAGAUGAUACUAGACAGCUGACACUCAGUCCUGGGGGCUGUGAGGAGAUGGGGGGCUGUGAGGAGAUGG
This 680-nucleotide long non-coding RNA is filed under the name Bos indicus x Bos taurus (hybrid cattle). RNAcentral's name for it is "lncRNA (ENSBIXG00000014685.1)". Lineage: Eukaryota; Metazoa; Chordata; Mammalia; Artiodactyla; Bovidae. The record is from RNAcentral.